Molecule: unclassified non-coding RNA, 268 nt
Filed under: Glomus sp.
Lineage: Eukaryota; Fungi; Glomeromycota; Glomeromycetes; Glomerales; Glomeraceae
Description: partial contains 5.8S ribosomal RNA and internal transcribed spacer 2
Rfam family: 5.8S ribosomal RNA (bases 1-65)
Source: RNAcentral
GUGAAUCAUCAAAUCUUUGAACGCAAAUUGCACUCUCUGCUGAGAGUAUGCCUAUUUGAGGGUCAGCCUAAAAAAAACCGACAUAGUCGCUGUUUCGCGGUGACAUUCGUCCGUAAUUGGGUCAUCUUAAACCUUUUGGGUUUAAGCGGCUUAAAAUUUUCUUUACGAUUCCAUGAACGUUUCUAAGAUUUACUUACACGUUUAAGGUAUCGAUUUUUAUUAGACGUGGCCCUUGCAUCCGAUCACGUACAUAUAUAUUUCGUGAACU